Molecule: RNA transcript, 2223 nt
Organism: Cornus florida
Lineage: Eukaryota; Viridiplantae; Streptophyta; Magnoliopsida; Cornales; Cornaceae
Exons: 6
Source: RefSeq, a predicted model, not a curated record
GUGAGUGAGUAUAAAGCCCUGCUCAAUAACUUUACUACUCGCUACAUCUCGGUGGAAAAAAAGAAAAAAGAAAAAAGAAAAAAGAAAAAGUCUGUCGCUAGAUAAGCAUAUUCUUGUACAAAAGGGGGCAAUUGUGGAGCUUUUGUACUCGCUUCCUAGAUCUCUGUGAGUGGAACUCGCCUCUCGUCGACCACAUUUUCUUUGCUGAGCAGAAUUAUUUUUUGUACAUUGGGGUUUGGUUAUAUGAAAGAGUUGUUGUAUUUCUUGAGAAAACAAGGGGAAAAAAAGAAGUUUGGUUAAAAAAAAGAAGUUUGGUGUUUGGGGUUACUAAGUUGGUUUCUGGGUUAAUAUGGGGCUCUUUGAUCUUUGUUUCUGGGUCAAUCGCCUCGCCAGUCUCUCAUCAUCAACACAGAAUGAUGAGAGACUGGUGAGGACAUUGAAGAGAAGGCUGCUUGGUACUGGAAAUUCUGAGCUUACUGCAGAACAUUGGAAGAGAAUCAAUUGGGUGAUGGAAUUGAUGAUGAUUGAGUCAUAUUUGAAUAAUAGAGAACCAGCAGACUCUGUCAGGGAAAGUCAUGAUGAUGUUCGUGAUGGAGAAGAUGACACGGACCCUCAAUAUAAGAUGUUCUUGGAGAAUUUAAAGGAAGAUGGGACAGUCAGGGAAAGUGAGGAACGUGUUCGUGAUGAAGAAGACGACAUGGACCCUCAAUAUAAGAUGUUCUUGGAGAAUUUGAGGGAAUAUGGGAAUUCAUAUAAACUGGAGGUAACUAUGACGGGCGGGAGGUCUUUAUUAAUAAGGUACAAGGAGAAGUAUGGGUUGGAUAACGAGCCUGAGGCCCAAACCUCAAGAAAAUCAGGGAAAUUUUCGAAUAGAGAGAAGAUAGAAGCUCGUAAAGAUGUGACUGAUGUUCCGAGCAAAGACAAGAUUGAAACACAAAAGACUUCGAGGUACAUUAUUGGGAAAGAUAAGGUGGAAAGACCCAAAACUAUGGAAAAUGGUAUGGUGGAUGAAUGCUACCGAGCAUUCCUGAAUUGUUUGGAACAGGAAGGUGAUUGCAUUGUUUUCGUGACUGAGAAUGGAAAGAGGGUAAAGUAUGAAGAAGAGGAUAUUGAUAGUUCAUCUGAUGUAGAAAUAUUAGACAUAGAUAGUGCUCCAUCAGAGAAUCCAUUUGUACCUUCAAAAAUGUUUGAUUCAUCUUGUCUGGGACAUCCAAGUGAAAGCAAGAAAUCUCAGUUUAGGGAGAAGGUCGUGAGUAUUCUCAAAAGACCUUAUGACCAGGAGGAGUAUGAAGAGCUUUUGCAUAAUAUAAAGGCGAGAAAGCCAGUGCAACGUAAUAUAGACUUGCGUUGCUCGGGAUCACUAUUUUACCAAGCAAGUAAUAUCGGCAAAUCAUAUCUUGAUCACUAUGAUGAUCUUAAAAGCAAGAUUUCUGAAGCCCGAUUUGAUCGACGUAAAGCGCUGAAUCUCUUACGUGGUUUUUUCUAUUGGAUGCAGAAUUUGACCCAUGAAGGAGCAUUCCGACCUUGGUUAGACAGCUCGUGUUUGGAGGUGCUGCCAGGAAAUCGCUAGAAGAUUAUUCUGCCUCUACUUUGGCAAGUAUUCUGCCUCAAAUGCUGUUUGCUGUGUCUCAAGAUAAUGACAGAAGCGAUCUGAUAGUAGAUAAUUGAUUAUUUGACAAUUUGAUCAGAAUUUGACCCAUGAAGGAGCAUUCCGACCUUGGUUAGACAGCUCGUGUUUGGAGGUGCUGCCAGGAAAUCGCUAGAAGAUUAUUCUGCCUCUACUUUGGCAAGUAUUCUGCCUCAAAUGCUGUUUGCUGUGUCUCAAGAUAAUGACAGAAGCGAUCUGAUAGUAGAUAAUUGAUUAUUUGACAAUUUGAUCAGGUGAUUUUUCAACGGUCUCUUUCGGCCACUGCAACCUUCUUGGUAGGCACAAACCACUUUGUGGCGAACUGACAUUUCAUUACCAUAUACCUUUUCGUUAAUCAAAUUGGGUGAUUGUAUACGAAGUUUAGUAAAUUUAUGUUGUAUCUCAGUUCCCCAUUAUUUACCUUUUCUGUAUGAGGCUUUUUCUGUUGUCAAAGGUGCACCCUAAUUACUCAAGUAAUUUGUUAAAAACGCAUGGAACAUUUGGUGAUAUAGUGAGCUUUUCUUUUUUAUGAAACUUGUAAUGGAAAAAUGGUACAUGCUAAGUAGAGUUUGAUAACAUUUUGUUUUUUCUUUGCA